RNAcentral lists this ribosomal RNA (1372 nucleotides) under uncultured bacterium. RNAcentral's name for it is "bacterial SSU rRNA". It matches the Rfam family "Bacterial small subunit ribosomal RNA", at positions 28 to 1381 of the family's 1533-position model. The record is from RNAcentral.
GAUGAACGCUGGCGGCGUGCCUAAUACAUGCAAGUCGAGCGAACGGACGAGAAGCUUGCUUCUCUGAUGUUAGCGGCGGACGGGUGAGUAACACGUGGAUAACCUACCUAUAAGACUGGGAUAACUUCGGGAAACCGGAGCUAAUACCGGAUGAUAUUUUGAACCGCAUGGUUCAAAAGUGAAAGACGGUCUUGCUGUCACUUAUAGAUGGAUCCGCGCUGCAUUAGCUAGUUGGUAAGGUAACGGCUUACCAAGGCAACGAUGCAUAGCCGACCUGAGAGGGUGAUCGGCCACACUGGAACUGAGACACGGUCCAGACUCCUACGGGAGGCAGCAGUAGGGAAUCUUCCGCAAUGGGCGAAAGCCUGACGGAGCAACGCCGCGUGAGUGAUGAAGGUCUUCGGAUCGUAAAACUCUGUUAUUAGGGAAGAACAUAUGUGUAAGUAACUGUGCACAUCUUGACGGUACCUAAUCAGAAAGCCACGGCUAACUACGUGCCAGCAGCCGCGGUAAUACGUAGGUGGCAAGCGUUAUCCGGAAUUAUUGGGCGUAAAGCGCGCGUAGGCGGUUUUUUAAGUCUGAUGUGAAAGCCCACGGCUCAACCGUGGAGGGUCAUUGGAAACUGGAAAACUUGAGUGCAGAAGAGGAAAGUGGAAUUCCAUGUGUAGCGGUGAAAUGCGCAGAGAUAUGGAGGAACACCAGUGGCGAAGGCGACUUUCUGGUCUGUAACUGACGCUGAUGUGCGAAAGCGUGGGGAUCAAACAGGAUUAGAUACCCUGGUAGUCCACGCCGUAAACGAUGAGUGCUAAGUGUUAGGGGGUUUCCGCCCCUUAGUGCUGCAGCUAACGCAUUAAGCACUCCGCCUGGGGAGUACGACCGCAAGGUUGAAACUCAGAGGAAUUGACGGGGACCCGCACAAGCGGUGGAGCAUGUGGUUUAAUUCGAAGCAACGCGAAGAACCUUACCAAAUCUUGACAUCCUUUGACAACUCUAGAGAUAGAGCCUUCCCCUUCGGGGGACAAAGUGACAGGUGGUGCAUGGUUGUCGUCAGCUCGUGUCGUGAGAUGUUGGGUUAAGUCCCGCAACGAGCGCAACCCUUAAGCUUAGUUGCCAUCAUUAAGUUGGGCACUCUAAGUUGACUGCCGGUGACAAACCGGAGGAAGGUGGGGAUGACGUCAAAUCAUCAUGCCCCUUAUGAUUUGGGCUACACACGUGCUACAAUGGACAAUACAAAGGGCAGCGAAACCGCGAGGUCAAGCAAAUCCCAUAAAGUUGUUCUCAGUUCGGAUUGUAGUCUGCAACUCGACUACAUGAAGCUGGAAUCGCUAGUAAUCGUAGAUCAGCAUGCUACGGUGAAUACGUUCCCGGGUCU